RNAcentral lists this ribosomal RNA (194 nucleotides) under uncultured bacterium. RNAcentral's name for it is "partial 16S ribosomal RNA". It matches the Rfam family "Bacterial small subunit ribosomal RNA", at positions 338 to 524 of the family's 1533-position model. The record is from RNAcentral.
CCUACGGGAGGCAGCAGUGGGGAAUUUUGGACAAUGGGCGCAAGCCUGAUCCAGCCAUGCCGCGUGAGUGAAGAAGGCCUUCGGGUUGUAAAGCUCUUUCGCAAGGAAAGAAAACUUAGCCACUAAUACUGGCUGAGGAUGACGGUACCUUGAUAAGAAGCACCGGCUAACUACGUGCCAGCAGCCGCGGUAAU